UUCGCCCGUCUGUGCCCCACCGGCCGCACCUUUGAAUAGGUAGUCGUACUCGUCGUCCCGGGUCCCCAUUGUCCUGGCGCUUCCGGCGGGAUCGGCGACUCCGCAGCCCCACCACAAACACCCGACGGGGGCGGAGCCGGCGCCGCGCAGAGCGGCGGACCACCCUCCUCGCCCUCGGUGUCCUGGAGAAAGGCGGAAGGAAUGCGGACCUUUUUGAAGUGA
Molecule: long non-coding RNA, 222 nt
Filed under: Homo sapiens (human)
Lineage: Eukaryota; Metazoa; Chordata; Mammalia; Primates; Hominidae
Description: HSALNT0255388
Source: RNAcentral